ACAAGUCCGGUCUUAACGAUUUGGGAUUAGCAAUAUUUCCAUUGAUUUCAACUAAAGUUUACUCGUCAUUUCCUCAGUGGAAAGUCUUUUUAAUAACAAAUUUUCGACGAAGCUAGUUUCUUAGCAGACCUGAAUAAUUAGUUUGAAGUAUAAUUUCAUUUCAUUCAUAGACGUUGCCUGGUAUCGCGGCGUCUUUAUAUUUACAAACAAUAUUGUCGGAAUAUACGUAUAAUAUAUAUCGCGACACACGACCGUGUUUAUCUUAUUGAAGUACAUUUUGUACAGAUUUUUCGUGCACAUCAUAUGUACACAGACGAUUUGCACUUGGCGAUGAUUCACGGUAUGUCAUAGAACAAUGAACGAAAGAAGUAUUAUAACAAUAACGAUUGUUUCAACGUGUUGUUUUGUUGUGCUCUUGGUUGCUUUAAUAUUGAUGAUUCUCGUUCUUCGGAAAAGAUGCAAGAAAUCAAAAGCUGCAACACAAGAAACAGACCGAGGGUCAGCGGUAUUAGAAGAAGGACUCACUAAUCUUGGUGUAGACGGAGACGGAUUAGUUUCAGCGACAAAACAACGUAAUCCUGAAAACAGACAUAAUUCUCAAAAAAUGGAUCGAAAGUUCGAGGAAAUAUUAGACAAUGCUUAUUCUGACGCAAGACAGUUUGCAAAGUUCCCUCAUUUGCCAUAAACAGUGAUCAAAAAAUAUUUUGUUGUGUUUCAGGCUAUAUUUAUUGCAUCAACUUCCUGACGCUUCAUUGAAGAUAAUGAUAAUUUGAUGACAAUGUAAUGUACGAUCCGAACUAUAAUCUAAUUGAUAAUCGGCAGUGGCGUAACGGACGUAUGGUCGGGUUAGGACAAGAACUAAGAGAGGGCCCCCAUUGAUUGUCGUCUAUCACCACGAUUGUUAAAGAAAAACGGCGUGUCAGUGUGUGGCAUAAAAAAGUCAGGUUAAAAACAAAUUGUUAUGCCAAAGAUAGGCCUAGGGUAUGAGGUUGAUUGCAAAGGAAAAUGCAGCAUUAAUGAUGGUAGAUUAAAUAAUAAAGUAUCCAUCGACCAUGGCUGAAUUCUCUAUUCUAUUAUCCAUGUUCUAUUAAUUCUAUAACUAAUGAAGUAAUACACUAAUGUAAAUUUACAAGUUUCAGCUCUCAAAUUAUUUUUCAAGUGAAAACAUGACAAACAGCUAGGGCCCCCACAACAAAUAUACCUAAGGGCACCAUUUUCAUCCGUUACGCCACUGAUAAUCGGACAGAAAUUAUUUAAUAUGACGGAAUAUUCAAACUAUGUACAGAGAUGGUAUCCUUUUCGUUGAUUUUUCAUGUAAACAACAUGAAAGAAAGUACAAUAACAAAUGCUUUCCUGAAUUAGGAAAGAUCAUCAAAAUACAAAAGCGAUAAAAGAUAUUUGAUUCAAAUAGACCUCGAAAAUGAUAUCAUGUGUACAUAGCCUUUGUUAUAUGUAAAAUACAGAACUUUACGUGCAGAUAACGAUUUUCAAAUGGAAAUGAUAAAUUGAUGA
Dendronephthya gigantea is the source of this 1512-nucleotide long non-coding RNA. RefSeq lists it as uncharacterized. NCBI's taxonomy places the organism in Eukaryota, Metazoa, Cnidaria, Anthozoa, Malacalcyonacea, Nephtheidae. The record is from RefSeq and is a predicted model, not a curated record. The transcript has 4 exons.